UACAGAGGUCUCAAGCGUUGUUCGGAUUCAUUGGGCGUAAAGGGUGUGUAGGUGGCGCCGUAAGUCGGGUGUGAAAUUUCGAGGCUUAACCUCGAAACUGCAUUCGAUACUGCGGUGCUUGAGGACUGGAGAGGAGACUGGAAUUCAUGGUGUAGCAGUGAAAUGCGUAGAUAUCUGGAGGAACACCGGUGGCGAAGGCGGCAUCCUGGACCACGACUGACGCUGAGUGAGCGAAAGCCAGGGGAGCAAACGGA
RNAcentral lists this ribosomal RNA (254 nucleotides) under uncultured bacterium. RNAcentral's name for it is "partial 16S ribosomal RNA". It matches the Rfam family "Bacterial small subunit ribosomal RNA", at positions 524 to 776 of the family's 1533-position model. The record is from RNAcentral.